AGCUAGUUAAGGAGCACAAAGGAAAACAUUUCUAUAAAGGAUCAUUUGACAACAAAAACCACAAAAAGAACGUGUAAGCCAGAAAACGGACAGAGGCAGAAACAGCAGUGCAAAGGCCCUGAGGCAGGGAGGGCCUCCAUGUACUGGAAGACCAGCAAAGAGGCCAGCACGACUGAAAGGGAUAGCUGAAGAGGAAAGCAGGAGGCAGAGGUCAGAGAGUUAAUACCCUGCUAGUUGCAUUGUUGCUCAGGAGUGCCACCUGACUCCACAUCUAGAAAGGCUCUGUCCAGCUCACCUUCCCGAUCCCAGAUGAUUGCCCAGAUAAGCAAGUUGCCAUGAGUCCUACAGCCAUGAAGACAUGAAUUCUGCCAACAACCUAAGUGAGCUCAGGAGCAGAUCCCUCUCCAGUUGAGCCUCCGAUGAGAAUCCAGUCCUAGCCAACAACACCCUGACUGUAGCCUUGUGAGACCCCAAGCAGAGGACUCAAUUAAGCUAUGUCUACACUCCUGAUCCAAAGCAACUGGGAAAAUAAAUGUGUGCUGCUUUAAGCCA
Macaca mulatta (Rhesus monkey) is the source of this 552-nucleotide non-coding RNA. The record is from RefSeq and is a predicted model, not a curated record. Lineage: Eukaryota; Metazoa; Chordata; Mammalia; Primates; Cercopithecidae.